This is a long non-coding RNA of Salmo salar (Atlantic salmon), 1274 nucleotides long. RefSeq lists it as uncharacterized. NCBI's taxonomy places the organism in Eukaryota, Metazoa, Chordata, Actinopteri, Salmoniformes, Salmonidae. The record is from RefSeq and is a predicted model, not a curated record.
GGGGGAGUUUUUCCGGCAUAACACCGGAAAGCUCCACUAAAAGAAGACGUUGCUUAGUUACAGUAUCUAUUCAACCCACACAUAUUUAGUCUAGCAUAGCAUCGUUUCAUGUAACGUUAGCAAACUACUUUCAAUAUGCCAUUUAAAGUAACGUUACAUGGAGACUGCUUGGUUAUAAUGGAAUGGACUAAAAAAACUAAGCUAGCUAAUUAAGCAACUGAUUUGUCUCGAGUCAUACAUUUAGCGUGCAUGCCAGUUCUCGACCAGAGUGCUGAAGGAGACACCUGUUAUGUACAGCCCCCCAAAGAACUGGAUCACUCGUUUUUCGACAACGACGGUGAUUGUGACAGCAGCAGCAUCAGCAAAGAGCAAGGGAAGAGUGAAAGAAAGAGUGAAAUAAGCUCUGAGGCUAGAAAGGAGCCAGACAUCCAGCCGGACGCUCCACAGACAGAGCAAUGUAGUGGUACAGAGAGGUCCGGUGGUGAUGCCUCAACCGAGGACAGAGGAAAAGGGUCAUGGCUUUGAGGCCGAAGAGAGGAGCAGCUGGUCUUCUAGCAUAUCUUCCAUUAAAUCAGAGGUCAAGGUAAAUCACAAGGAAAGGGCAACGAGUACUUUAUUAUUAGGGGCUCCCGAGUGGCGCAGCGGUCAGACCCUGGUUCGAUUCCAGGCUGUUUCACAUCCGGCCGUGAUUGGGAGUCCCAUAGGGCAGCACACAAUUGGCUCAGCGUCGUCCGGGUUAGGGCUUGGCCAGGUUAGGGUAGGCCGUCAUUGUAAAUGAGAAUUGUUCUUAACUGACUUGCCUAGUUUAAUAAACGUUAAAUAUGUAUAUAUUUUUUAAAUGUCUGUGUGGCUUCGUCAUUCUACUUUACGCCACAAGGUGGCAUUAGCCACUCAAUACAACUGCCCAGGUUAGGGUAGGCCGUCAUUGUAAAUAAGAAUUUGUUCUUAACUGACUUGCCUAGUUUAAUAAAGGUUAAAUAUUUUAAAUGUCUGUGUGGCUUCGUCAUUCUACUUUACGCCACAAGGUGGCAUUAAUGUCAAGGAAGCAUUAUUAUUUAGAAUUCGAAAUAAAGAUAAAUGAUUUAUUCCAAAAGAUGUCCAUUAGUAUUCCAAUUGUUUUUAUACAAUACAGUACAGAUUUAGAACAAACAGUAGUCACAUAAAAUGCGAUCCUCAUCAUUCAUGUUCUUAGUGGCAAUCACUUUCAAAAACAUGUCCUUCAAAAGCUUGAAUAGAGUUCCAUGACCAGGGAUCUGAUUAAUAAAAACAUGUAU